CGGGACGGGUGAGUAAUGUCUGGGGAAAUGCCCGAUGGAGGGGGAUAACUACUGGAAACGGUAGCUAAUACCGCAUAACGUCGCAAGACCAAAGAGGGGGACCUUAGGGCCUCUUGCCAUCGGAUGUGCCCAGAUGGGAUUAGCUAGUAGGUGGGGUAAUGGCUCACCUAGGCGACGAUCCCUAGCUGGUCUGAGAGGAUGACCAGCCACACUGGAACUGAGACACGGUCCAG
Molecule: ribosomal RNA, 233 nt
Filed under: uncultured bacterium
Lineage: Bacteria
Description: partial 16S ribosomal RNA
Rfam family: Bacterial small subunit ribosomal RNA
Source: RNAcentral